CCCAAUUAUUCAAUUUUUGAUGAAAUCAAACUAAGUUUAAUUUUGGACCCUGUGAACCUUAAUGUAGACCAAUUUGAAAACGGGACCAAAACUUAAGAAUCUACAUACACAGUAAGAUUCGGCAUAUCAAAUAACCCCAAUUAUUCAAUUUUUGAUGAAAUCAAACAAAGUUCAAUUUUGGACCCUUUGGGCCCCUUAUUCCUAAACUGUUGGGACCAAAACUCCAAAAAUCAAAACCAACCUUCCUUUUAUGGUCAUAAACCUUGUGUUUAAAUUUCAUAGAUUUCUAUUUACUUAUACUAAAGUUAUGGUGCGAAAACCAAGAAUAAUGCUUAUUUGGGCCCCUUUUUGGCCCCUAAUUCCUAAACUGUUCAGACCUCAACUCCCAAAAUCAAUCCCAACUUUCCUUUUGUGGUCAUAAACCUUGUGUUUACAUUUCAUUGAUUUCUAUUUACUUAUACUAAAGUUAUUGUGCGAAAACCAAGAAUAAUGCUUAUUUGGGCCCUUUUUUGGCCCCUAAUUCCUAA
This 527-nucleotide long non-coding RNA is filed under the name Mytilus galloprovincialis (Mediterranean mussel). Lineage: Eukaryota; Metazoa; Mollusca; Bivalvia; Mytilida; Mytilidae. The record is from RNAcentral.